CAGCCCGCUCCCGGUAAAACGGAACGGCCCGCCAGAGGACCCCUAAACUCUGUUUCUAUAUGUAACUUCUGAGUAAAACCAUAAAUAAAUCAAAACUUUCAACAACGGAUCUCUUGGUUCUGGCAUCGAUGAAGAACGCAGCAAAAUGCGAUAAGUAAUGUGAAUUGCAGAAUUCAGUGAAUCAUCGAAUCUUUGAACGCACAUUGCGCCCGCCAGUAUUCUGGCGGGCAUGCCUGUUCGAGCGUCAUUUCAACCCUCAAGCCCCCGGGUUUGGUGUUGGGGAUCGGCGAGCCUCACGGCAAGCCGGCCCCGAAAUACAGUGGCGGUCUCGCUGCAGCUUCCAUUGCGUAGUAGUAAAACCCUCGCAACUGGUACGCGGCGCGGCCAAGCCGUUAAACCCCCAACUUCUGAAUGUUGACCUCGGAUCAGGUAGGAAUACCCGCUGAACUUAAGCAUAU
This 458-nucleotide ribosomal RNA is filed under the name Fusarium verticillioides. RNAcentral's name for it is "eukaryotic LSU rRNA". The stretch from base 94 to 247 matches the Rfam family "5.8S ribosomal RNA". Lineage: Eukaryota; Fungi; Ascomycota; Sordariomycetes; Hypocreales; Nectriaceae. The record is from RNAcentral.